GAGAAAGUGUUUGCGGGUUAUAUUUAUGUAUCACUUGGUGGCAUCAUCAUAGUCUGACAGCCCUCGACUGAUAAAGCUGUGUUUUUUCUUGUGUCUCCUGUCAUUGUGCUUUUAAGGGAGAGUACUGCUGGGUUUCAAAUGACAGGGUUUGGAUCAUUUUGUCAGCCCGGCACAGCUCUUGGAAAAAAAAAAAAAAACGUUUUUUUUUCUGGCUUAUCUACUUGGAGUCUUUGACACAGGGUUGCUUUGUUCAUCUCACACAGGGAGGCUUCCCUGAAUAGUGCCAGCCAGCUAGUGGAGUCUGGUUGUUAGCAAGCUGACUCAUGUGGAAAAAAAAUAAUGAAACAAAAAAGACAACAAAGGUUUCUAUGAAAAUGUGAGCUCAUUGUGCUCUUACAGUAUACUGUAUUUUAGCCUCCAUUACGUAUAACAGUACUUACCUGGUUUUUGGCUAAGUAGAUAGAGGAAGGUUUUCCGAGGAUCGGCGUGAUCUCUACAGCGUUCCCAGAUGUGGUCCGGACAGAGACAGGAAGGUGUGCAGUUUGACCAGGUAGCAGCGGAAGCGAGGCCUUGUCAGCACUGACCGGAUGAUCACGUUGCCCAGAGAGUGACCUAUAAAGCUGAGACAUGAGGAAGUCCAAUCUGGACCCAGGCAAUCCCAGUUCUAUGAAGGUUUUCACCAGGCGAAGAUCUGCACUGUUCCCUAGGAGAUAUUAUAACAACACAUCUUGAAACACCUGGCCUGGGACGUAACGGAAAACAAGUGCCCUGUAUUACAGGAUGGUGCAAACAGUCAAAAAAGUCAAAACAGUCAUGGGGGAAGUAGGGCAGUUCGGAGGCCAGGUGAGGAAGAUCACUAUACAGGGUGGCCUGGAAUGACAGCUCCUUCACCAGAUCCUCUUUGGACCGGUAAAACCUGGAACACAGCGCGGGCAGACGGGGCUAGUGGCUUCGGGCGAGGAUGAGGAGAUAAUGCCAAAUGAGCCCAGGGGCUGGUGCGUAAUUGGGGAGACGGCCUGGCGGGAGGAGAUGCCACUGA
Esox lucius (northern pike) is the source of this 1039-nucleotide long non-coding RNA. RefSeq lists it as uncharacterized. The record is from RefSeq and is a predicted model, not a curated record. NCBI's taxonomy places the organism in Eukaryota, Metazoa, Chordata, Actinopteri, Esociformes, Esocidae. The transcript is spliced from 5 exons.